UUUGGGCCACCUCCCAUCCGUGUCUAUUGUACCCUGUUGCUUCGGCGGGCCCGCCGNUUGNCGGCCGCCGGGGGGGCGCCUCUGCCCCCCGGGCCCGUGCCCGCCGGAGACCCCAACACGAACACUGUCUGAAAGCGUGCAGUCUGAGUUGAUUGAAUGCAAUCAGUUAAAACUUUCAACAAUGGAUCUCUUGGUUCCGGCAUCGAUGAAGAACGCAGCGAAAUGCGAUAACUAAUGUGAAUUGCAGAAUUCAGUGAAUCAUCGAGUCUUUGAACGCACAUUGCGCCCCCUGGUAUUCCGGGGGGCAUGCCUGUCCGAGCGUCAUUGCUGCCCUCAAGCCCGGCUUGUGUGUUGGGUCGCCGUCCCCCUCUCCGGGGGGACGGGCCCGAAAGGCAGCGGCGGCACCGCGUCCGAUCCUCGAGCGUAUGGGGCUUUGUCACAUGCUCUGUAGGAUUGGCCGGCGCCUGCCGACGUUUUCCAACCAUUCUUUCCAGGUUGACCUCGGAUCAGGUAGGGAUACCCGCUGAACUUAAGCAUAUCAAUA
Molecule: ribosomal RNA, 544 nt
Filed under: Aspergillus sp. MR50
Lineage: Eukaryota; Fungi; Ascomycota; Eurotiomycetes; Eurotiales; Aspergillaceae
Description: eukaryotic LSU rRNA
Rfam family: 5.8S ribosomal RNA (bases 171-324)
Source: RNAcentral